CUGUUGUAUGAAAGGAGAAAAGGUUAGCAAUUUCUUAGACUAGGAUGAAAGACUUCAGCUUGCAGCAUGCAUAAGGUUAAAGCACUGCUAACUAUUUCAUGAUAUCUAACCAAUGUUUUUG
Small nuclear RNA from Suncus etruscus (white-toothed pygmy shrew), 121 nucleotides. NCBI's taxonomy places the organism in Eukaryota, Metazoa, Chordata, Mammalia, Eulipotyphla, Soricidae. The record is from RefSeq and is a predicted model, not a curated record.